UGGGGAAUCUUGGACAAUGGGGGCAACCCUGAUCCAGCCAUGCCGCGUGAGUGAUGAAGGCCUUAGGGUCGUAAAGCUCUUUCGCCUGUGAAGAUAAUGACGGUAGCAGGUAAAGAAACCCCGGCUAACUCCGUGCCAGCAGCCGCGGUAAUACGGAGGGGGUUAGCGUUGUUCGGAAUUACUGGGCGUAAAGCGCACGUAGGCGGACCAGAAAGUUGGGGGUGAAAUCCCGGGGGCUCAACCCCGGAACUGCCUCCAAAACUAUUGGUCUAGAGUUCGAGAGAGGUGAGUGGAAUUCCAAGUGUAGAGGUGAAAUUCGUAGAUAUUUGGAGGAACACCAGUGGCGAAGGCGGCUCACUGGGCAGAUGUGAUCGCUGAGGUACGAAAGCGUGGGGAGCGAACAGGAUUAGAUACCCCUGGGUAGUCCACGCCGUAAAACGAUGGGUGCUAGGUGUUGGGUAGCUUGCUAUUCAGUGCCGAA
Molecule: ribosomal RNA, 481 nt
Filed under: uncultured bacterium
Lineage: Bacteria
Description: bacterial SSU rRNA
Rfam family: Bacterial small subunit ribosomal RNA
Source: RNAcentral